Pelobates cultripes (western spadefoot toad) is the source of this 268-nucleotide non-coding RNA. NCBI's taxonomy places the organism in Eukaryota, Metazoa, Chordata, Amphibia, Anura, Pelobatidae. The record is from the annotation of a GenBank genome assembly.
GGUUGGGUUAGGGGUAGGGUUAGAAGUAGGAUUAGGAUUGGGUUAGGGUUAGGGUAGGGUUAGGAGUAGGGGUAGGGUUGGGUUAGGAGUAGGAUUAGGAGUAGGGUUAGGGUACUCUACUCCUAACCCUAACCUACCCCUAACCCUACUCCCAACCCUAACCCUACUGCUAACCCUAACCCAACCCUACCCCUUACCCAACCCUAACCCAAACCCUACUCCUAGCCCAACCCUUACCCUAAUCUUAACCCUACCCCUAACCCUAACC